This 253-nucleotide ribosomal RNA is filed under the name uncultured bacterium. RNAcentral describes it as "partial 16S ribosomal RNA". It matches the Rfam family "Bacterial small subunit ribosomal RNA", at positions 524 to 776 of the family's 1533-position model. The record is from RNAcentral.
UACGUAGGGUGCGAGCGUUAAUCGGAAUUACUGGGCGUAAAGCGUGCGCAGGCGGUUUUGUAAGCCAGGUGUGAAAUCCCCGGGCUCAACCUGGGAAUGGCAUUUGGGACUGCAAGGCUGGAGUGCGGCAGAGGAGACUGGAAUUCCUGGUGUAGCAGUGAAAUGCGUAGAUAUCAGGAGGAACACCGAUGGCGAAGGCAGGUCUCUGGGCUGACACUGACGCUCAUGCACGAAAGCGUGGGGAGCAGACAGG